Artibeus jamaicensis (Jamaican fruit-eating bat) is the source of this 216-nucleotide small nucleolar RNA. RefSeq annotates it as small nucleolar RNA U3. Lineage: Eukaryota; Metazoa; Chordata; Mammalia; Chiroptera; Phyllostomidae. The transcript has a single exon. The record is from RefSeq and is a predicted model, not a curated record.
AAGACUAUACUUUCAGGGAUCAUUUCUAUAGUUCAAUACUAGAGAAGUUUCUCCCUGAACUUGUAGAGCGCCUGAAACCACAAGGAGGAGGCGCAGUGUUUUCUCCUGAGUGUGAAGCUGGCUUUUGGUGUUGGUUUAGCAACUGCCGAUAGCCAUUGGUGAUUGUUCUUCUCUUCCUUUGAAAGAGCAAGAGAAAGAGAAUGCAGUCUAAGUGGU